RNAcentral lists this ribosomal RNA (809 nucleotides) under Sphingobacteriaceae bacterium. RNAcentral's name for it is "bacterial SSU rRNA". It matches the Rfam family "Bacterial small subunit ribosomal RNA", at positions 79 to 889 of the family's 1533-position model. Lineage: Bacteria; Pseudomonadati; Bacteroidota; Sphingobacteriia; Sphingobacteriales; Sphingobacteriaceae. The record is from RNAcentral.
CUUGCUGGAUAUGAAAGUGGCGCACGGGUGCGUAACGCGUAUGCAACCUACCUUUAUCUGGGGGAUAGCCCGGAGAAAUCCGGAUUAAUACCGCAUAAAAUCACAGGAUGGCAUUAUCCAAUGAUCAAACAUUUAUGGGAUGAAGAUGGGCAUGCGUGUCAUUAGCUAGUUGGCGGGGUAACGGCCCACCAAGGCGACGAUGACUAGGGGAUCUGAGAGGAUGGCCCCCCACACUGGUACUGAGACACGGACCAGACUCCUACGGGAGGCAGCAGUAAGGAAUAUUGGUCAAUGGAGGCAACUCUGAACCAGCCAUGCCGCGUGCAGGAAGACUGCCCUAUGGGUUGUAAACUGCUUUUAUCCGGGAAUAAACCUGCUUACGUGUAAGUAGCUGAAUGUACCGGAAGAAUAAGGAUCGGCUAACUCCGUGCCAGCAGCCGCGGUAAUACGGAGGAUCCAAGCGUUAUCCGGAUUUAUUGGGUUUAAAGGGUGCGUAGGCGGCCUGUUAAGUCAGGGGUGAAAGACGGUAGCUCAACUAUCGCAGUGCCCUUGAUACUGAUGGGCUUGAAUGGACUAGAGGUAGGCGGAAUGAGACAAGUAGCGGUGAAAUGCAUAGAUAUGUCUCAGAACACCGAUUGCGAAGGCAGCUUACUAUGGUCUUAUUGACGCUGAGGCACGAAAGCGUGAGGAUCAAACAGGAUUAGAUACCCUGGUAGUCCACGCCCUAAACGAUGAACACUCGCUGUUGGCGAUACACAGUCAGCGGCUAAGCGAAAGCGUUAAGUGUUCCACCUGGGGAGUACGCUCGC